This 289-nucleotide ribosomal RNA is filed under the name uncultured bacterium. Its description in RNAcentral is "partial 16S ribosomal RNA". It matches the Rfam family "Bacterial small subunit ribosomal RNA", at positions 333 to 621 of the family's 1533-position model. The record is from RNAcentral.
GCACCUACGGGACGCAGCAGUGAGGAAUAUUGGCCAAUGGGAGAGAUCCUGAACCAGCCAAGCCGCGUGAGGGAAGGCGGCCCUAUGGGUUGUAAACCUCUUUUGUCGGAGAACAAAACCCGGGACGUGUCCCGGACUGCGUGUAUCCGAAGAAAAAGCAUCGGCUAACUCCGUGCCAGCAGCCGCAGUAAUACGGAGGAUGCGAGCGUUAUCCGGAUUUAUUGGGUUUAAAGGGUGCGUAGGCGGUCCGUUAUGUCAGCGGUAAGAUUGCGGGGUUCAACCCCGUGGA